GAUGAACGCUGGCGGCGUGCCUAAUACAUGCAAGUCGAGCGAACAGACGAGGAGCUUGCUCCUCUGACGUUAGCGGCGGACGGGUGAGUAACACGUGGAUAACCUACCUAUAAGACUGGGAUAACUUCGGGAAACCGGAGCUAAUACCGGAUAAUAUAUUGAACCGCAUGGUUCAAUAGUGAAAGACGGUUUUGCUGUCACUUAUAGAUGGAUCCGCGCCGCAUUAGCUAGUUGGUAAGGUAACGGCUUACCAAGGCAACGAUGCGUAGCCGACCUGAGAGGGUGAUCGGCCCCACUGGAGCUGAGACACGGUCCAGACUCCUACGGGAGGCAGCAGUAGGGAAUCUUCCGCAAUGGGCGAAAGCCUGACGGAGCAACGCCGCGUGAGUGAUGAAGGUCUUCGGAUCGUAAAACUCUGUUAUUAGGGAAGACCAAAUGUGUAAGUAACUAUGCACGUCUUGACGGUACCUAAUCAGAAAGCCACGGCUAACUACGUG
This 497-nucleotide ribosomal RNA is filed under the name uncultured bacterium. RNAcentral's name for it is "partial 16S ribosomal RNA". It matches the Rfam family "Bacterial small subunit ribosomal RNA", at positions 28 to 507 of the family's 1533-position model. The record is from RNAcentral.